Molecule: ribosomal RNA, 490 nt
Filed under: Nylanderia vividula
Lineage: Eukaryota; Metazoa; Arthropoda; Insecta; Hymenoptera; Formicidae
Description: eukaryotic LSU rRNA
Source: RNAcentral
UUCAGGGGUAAACCUAAGAAACCCAAAAGAUCGAACGGGGAGAUUCAUCGUCAGCGGCGCUGGCUUCGCGUCGGUCGGCGAUGUCCCGCGGAGUCCUUGCGGCUCGCGCGCGGGCACGCUACCGUGCGCCGAUGUCCGGCGCUCGUCGUCGUGCACUUCUCCCCAAGUAGAACGUCGCGACCCACUGAGUGUCGGUCUACGGCCCGGGUGCGAUGUCUGUCGCGUCGCCGAUAAAACGGCACGCGACAAACCCUCGGUCGCCCGGCCGGCUGCUCGGCGGUACGCGCAAGGUAUCAGGCCGCACUAUUCACGGUGCGUCGAGACCGUCGCAAGCGCGCGCCACGGUACUCGGAGGUUACGGACUUCACGCCGUCCCCGGUCUUGGCCCGCUGUUGGUUACAGUACGGUACACCUUCGACAGGCGAACGUCUCCCGCGGUCUUCGCGGGAGACCGAUACCGGUCGGCGACGCUACUGCUUUGGAUACUCUU